This 1550-nucleotide ribosomal RNA is filed under the name Leclercia adecarboxylata. RNAcentral's name for it is "bacterial SSU rRNA". It matches the Rfam family "Bacterial small subunit ribosomal RNA". The record is from RNAcentral. Lineage: Bacteria; Pseudomonadati; Pseudomonadota; Gammaproteobacteria; Enterobacterales; Enterobacteriaceae.
AAAUUGAAGAGUUUGAUCAUGGCUCAGAUUGAACGCUGGCGGCAGGCCUAACACAUGCAAGUCGAACGGUAGCACAGAGAGCUUGCUCUCGGGUGACGAGUGGCGGACGGGUGAGUAAUGUCUGGGAAACUGCCUGAUGGAGGGGGAUAACUACUGGAAACGGUAGCUAAUACCGCAUAACGUCGCAAGACCAAAGAGGGGGACCUUCGGGCCUCUUGCCAUCAGAUGUGCCCAGAUGGGAUUAGCUAGUAGGUGGGGUAAUGGCUCACCUAGGCGACGAUCCCUAGCUGGUCUGAGAGGAUGACCAGCCACACUGGAACUGAGACACGGUCCAGACUCCUACGGGAGGCAGCAGUGGGGAAUAUUGCACAAUGGGCGCAAGCCUGAUGCAGCCAUGCCGCGUGUAUGAAGAAGGCCUUCGGGUUGUAAAGUACUUUCAGCGGGGAGGAAGGUGUUGUGGUUAAUAACCACAGCAAUUGACGUUACCCGCAGAAGAAGCACCGGCUAACUCCGUGCCAGCAGCCGCGGUAAUACGGAGGGUGCAAGCGUUAAUCGGAAUUACUGGGCGUAAAGCGCACGCAGGCGGUCUGUCAAGUCGGAUGUGAAAUCCCCGGGCUCAACCUGGGAACUGCAUUCGAAACUGGCAGGCUAGAGUCUUGUAGAGGGGGGUAGAAUUCCAGGUGUAGCGGUGAAAUGCGUAGAGAUCUGGAGGAAUACCGGUGGCGAAGGCGGCCCCCUGGACAAAGACUGACGCUCAGGUGCGAAAGCGUGGGGAGCAAACAGGAUUAGAUACCCUGGUAGUCCACGCCGUAAACGAUGUCGACUUGGAGGUUGUUCCCUUGAGGAGUGGCUUCCGGAGCUAACGCGUUAAGUCGACCGCCUGGGGAGUACGGCCGCAAGGUUAAAACUCAAAUGAAUUGACGGGGGCCCGCACAAGCGGUGGAGCAUGUGGUUUAAUUCGAUGCAACGCGAAGAACCUUACCUACUCUUGACAUCCAGAGAACUUAGCAGAGAUGCUUUGGUGCCUUCGGGAACUCUGAGACAGGUGCUGCAUGGCUGUCGUCAGCUCGUGUUGUGAAAUGUUGGGUUAAGUCCCGCAACGAGCGCAACCCUUAUCCUUUGUUGCCAGCGGUCCGGCCGGGAACUCAAAGGAGACUGCCAGUGAUAAACUGGAGGAAGGUGGGGAUGACGUCAAGUCAUCAUGGCCCUUACGAGUAGGGCUACACACGUGCUACAAUGGCGCAUACAAAGAGAAGCGACCUCGCGAGAGCAAGCGGACCUCAUAAAGUGCGUCGUAGUCCGGAUUGGAGUCUGCAACUCGACUCCAUGAAGUCGGAAUCGCUAGUAAUCGUAGAUCAGAAUGCUACGGUGAAUACGUUCCCGGGCCUUGUACACACCGCCCGUCACACCAUGGGAGUGGGUUGCAAAAGAAGUAGGUAGCUUAACCUUCGGGAGGGCGCUUACCACUUUGUGAUUCAUGACUGGGGUGAAGUCGUAACAAGGUAACCGUAGGGGAACCUGCGGUUGGAUCACCUCCUUACCUUAAAGAA